RNAcentral lists this ribosomal RNA (426 nucleotides) under Scylla serrata (giant mud crab). Its description in RNAcentral is "partial 12S ribosomal RNA". Lineage: Eukaryota; Metazoa; Arthropoda; Malacostraca; Decapoda; Portunidae. The record is from RNAcentral.
CCUACUAUGUUACGACUUAUCUCAUUUUGGUAAUGAAAGCGACGGGCGAUAUGUACAUGAUUUAGAGCUUAUAUCUAACUAAACAUAUUAAAUUUAAUUUACAAUCAAAUCCUCCUUCUAAUUAAUUAUUUGAAUUAAUAUUCCGUAUUAAAUAAAUUUUUAUUGUAACCCAUUUUAACUUAAGCAUUAGCUGCACCUUGAUCUAAUAUAUUUAAUAUUGUUAAUAAUUAUCGUUCAGUAAUUUAUUCUAUAAAAAUUACCUAAUAAUGAUGGUAUACAUACUGCCUUUACAAGCUUAAGUAAGAUUCUUCGUGGUGUAUCGAUUCAAAAACAGGUUCCUCUGACAAGACUAAAUCACCGCCAAAUUCUUCAAAUUUCAAGUACAUAACUUUAAAUACUUAGGGUUAAAAAAUUACUUUUUAGUAU